GAUGAACGCUGGCGGCGUGCCUAAUACAUGCAAGUCGAGCGAACGGACGAGAAGCUUGCUUCUCUGAUGUUAGCGGCGGACGGGGGAGUAACACGUGGAUAACCUACCUAUAAGACUGGGAUAACUUCGGGAAACCGGAGCUAAUACCGGAUAAUAUUUUGAACCGCAUGGUUCAAAAGUGAAAGACGGUCUUGCUGUCACUUAUAGAUGGAUCCGCGCUGCAUUAGCUAGUUGGUAAGGUAACGGCUUACCAAGGCAACGAUGCAUAGCCGACCUGAGAGGGUGAUCGGCCACACUGGAACUGAGACACGGUCCAGACUCCUACGGGAGGCAGCAGUAGGGAAUCUUCCGCAAUGGGCGAAAGCCUGACGGAGCAACGCCGCGUGAGUGAUGAAGGUCUUCGGAUCGUAAAACUCUGUUAUUAGGGAAGAACAGAUGUGUAAGUAACUGUGCACAUCUUGACGGUACCUAAUCAGAAAGCCACGGCUAACUACGUG
RNAcentral lists this ribosomal RNA (497 nucleotides) under uncultured bacterium. RNAcentral's name for it is "partial 16S ribosomal RNA". It matches the Rfam family "Bacterial small subunit ribosomal RNA", at positions 28 to 507 of the family's 1533-position model. The record is from RNAcentral.